GAUGAAGAACGUAGCGAACGUGCGAAACGUAAUGUGAAUUGCAGAAUUCAGUGAAUCAUCGAAUCUUUGAACGCAUCUUGCGCUCCUUGGUAUUCCGAGGAGCAUGCCUGUUUGAGUGUCGUGAAUACUCUCAACUUCAACCCUUUUUUCGGAAAGGGAGGAAGGUUGGACUUGGGUGUUUGUUGAAGUGCGAGCUUCGACUCAUCCUAAAUGCAUUAGCGAUCUGCCUCGAUCACACACAAUGUGAUAAUUAAAACUAAAGCAUUGUUUAAUGAUCAAGUCGAGACUGCUUCUAACUGUCGCAAGACAAUAACGUGCAUACAUUUGUGCAUGUCAUUUGACCUCAAAUCAGCUAGGACUACCCGCUGAACUUAAGCAUAUCAAUAAGCGGAGGA
RNAcentral lists this unclassified non-coding RNA (395 nucleotides) under soil metagenome. RNAcentral's name for it is "partial contains 5.8S ribosomal RNA, internal transcribed spacer 2, and large subunit ribosomal RNA". The stretch from base 1 to 121 matches the Rfam family "5.8S ribosomal RNA", at positions 35 to 154 of the family's 154-position model. The record is from RNAcentral.